This is a long non-coding RNA of Equus quagga, 692 nucleotides long. RefSeq lists it as uncharacterized. The transcript is spliced from 4 exons. The record is from RefSeq and is a predicted model, not a curated record. Lineage: Eukaryota; Metazoa; Chordata; Mammalia; Perissodactyla; Equidae.
CAGUGCAUGGCGCUUUGAUAUAGCAGGUUCUGUGAGAGCUUGAAGGAACCAGAAGACACGCCCCCAAGAAACUCAGAAAUAAACUUGAUGCUGAACUGGAACGGCCAUGCUGGGGGUGGAAGGUCCUAGAGAAAGAAUUCACUUUUGAAGAAGAGAACACUUGAGGGGAGAAUUGCCCUGGUUGGAAGAGACCGAGAGAGCGCAGAGAUCCUGAACAUGUGAUGUCUGCCAGGUCACGACUGUUUCUAUUGCUGUAACAUUUCUGAAGAGCUGAACUGAACCACGUGGCUGACUCCUUUUGCAAGCCCUUCCCAUCUCGAUGUGCCCCUACUUAACCCUCAGUGGCGAGGACAGGUGGUGGAAAGCAGGCCGAGCAGUGCUGAGGAAUUCUCUCUGCAGCCCUGGGAAAACUGUCCACGCAGCCCGCAGCCCCCAGCUCUUGUCACCUGGCUCUCCAGCCAUAGGACCCCUGCCCUCUUACAGCCUGUGGAAGAGAGAGGGGCUCCAGGAACAGAGUUCGGGGAGCAUAGGGGAGGGCCCAGCGAGAGAUGGAGAAAGGGCAUGCAUUCGUACCUGUCUGCAUUUUGGUUUCCUAAUCUUAAAACGAGGGACUCGAACUAUAUUAUUCUUUCUCUAAGUGGGGUCUAAGGACCCAGGGGACCCAAAAGUUCUCUGAGAACCAGGUAUUUUGU